UUUGAUUUUUUUUUAUUUUUCAUGCCCAUUUCAAAAUGCGGUCAAAACGGUGGGUAUGACCGUUCGUAGCUAGGGCUUGAUUUUUGAAAAUAUUUUGGAGUAUCUAUGAAGAAAUAGAUACUUUUCUACCUAUAAUUUUUUUUUGAAAAAAAUAAAUAGCAAACUAUGAGGCGGCUGCAGUUCAAAUUUGACGUGCUUUCAGCUGAAUUGGCUGAAAG
This 218-nucleotide long non-coding RNA is filed under the name Hordeum vulgare. Its description in RNAcentral is "long non-coding RNA (HVUL_LNC013102)". Lineage: Eukaryota; Viridiplantae; Streptophyta; Magnoliopsida; Poales; Poaceae. The record is from RNAcentral.